AUUGAACGCUGGCGGCAGGCCUAACACAUGCAAGUCGAGCGGUAGAGAGAAGCUUGCUUCUCUUGAGGGCGGCGGACGGGUGAGUAAAGCCUAGGAAUCUGCCUGGUAGUGGGGGAUAACGUUCGGAAACGGACGCUAAUACCGCAUACGUCCUACGGGAGAAAGCAGGGGACCUUCGGGCCUUGCGCUAUCAGAUGAGCCUAGGUCGGAUUAGCUAGUUGGUGAGGUAAUGGCUCACCAAGGCGACGAUCCGUAACUGGUCUGAGAGGAUGAUCAGUCACACUGGAACUGAGACACGGUCCAGACUCCUACGGGAGGCAGCAGUGGGGAAUAUUGGACAAUGGGCGAAAGCCUGAUCCAGCCAUGCCGCGUGUGUGAAGAAGGUCUUCGGAUUGUAAAGCACUUUAAGUUGGGAGGAAGGGCAUUAACCUAAUACGUUAGUGUUUUGACGUUACCGACAGAAUAAGCACCGGCUAACUCUGUGCCAGCAGCCGCGGUAAUACAGAGGGUGCAAGCGUUAAUCGGAAUUACUGGGCGUAAAGCGCGCGUAGGUGGUUUGUUAAGUUGGAUGUGAAAUCCCCGGGCUCAACCUGGGAACUGCAUUCAAAACUGACUGACUAGAGUAUGGUAGAGGGUGGUGGAAUUUCCUGUGUAGCGGUGAAAUGCGUAGGUAUAGGAAGGAACACC
Molecule: ribosomal RNA, 687 nt
Filed under: uncultured bacterium
Lineage: Bacteria
Description: bacterial SSU rRNA
Rfam family: Bacterial small subunit ribosomal RNA
Source: RNAcentral